GAUAAUAUUACUUAAUUUUUUUCGGAUCCAGUUAAAUUUUAAUUAUAGGUUUGAUAGUAAGGUUUAUUGGGUGGAAUCAGUAAGUCUUAAAGUAAGCUAAUUUUUGAUUAUGAGGCUGAGAAAUUUAAUAUUUAAACUAGGAUUAGAUACCCUAUUAUUUUGAACGUGAAUUUAUUUCUGGAUUAUUAGUAGUUAUGCCCUUGAAAAUUAAAGAUUUUGGCGGUAUUUUAGUCUGUUCAGAGGAACCUGUCCUGUAAUCGAUGAUCCACGAGUUAAUUAACUUUUUCUUUUAGUUUGUAUAUCGUCGUAGUUUGAAAAUUUUAAAAGAAUUUUAAUUUUCAUGAUUUUUUUUUAAAGGAAAUCAGAUCAAGGUGUAGCUUAUGAAAAAGGAAGUGAUGGGUUACAUUGAAUUUAUUCUUGAUUCUAUCUUGUGAAGUUAGAUGAGUACGGAUUUGAUAGUAAUGUUAAUUAGACUAUUAGCGUGAUUUAAGCUCUAAAAUAUGCACAUAUCGCCCGUCGCUUUCACUCUAAAGUGGAAUAAGUCGUAACAAAGUAGGCUUACUGGAAAGUGAGCCUGGAAAGGCAGGUUAGAGCUUGUUAAAAAGCAUUUUAUUUACACUAAAAAGUUAAUUGUGAGAAUCAAUUUGGCUUGAAUUUAAGGGCUUAUUGUUAUUUUAAUUUUUUUUCUUUUUAUAAUGAGAAUAUUGAUUUUUAUUAUUAGUUAAGAAAAAAUUUUUUAUUAUUAUAGUUUAUUUGUACUGUGAAGGAGAAUCAUUUUUAUUUAAAAAAAAAAGAUUUAUUUUCU
Molecule: ribosomal RNA, 805 nt
Filed under: Nadezhdiella cantori
Lineage: Eukaryota; Metazoa; Arthropoda; Insecta; Coleoptera; Cerambycidae
Description: partial 12S ribosomal RNA
Source: RNAcentral